UGGAAGUAAAAGUCGUAACAAGGUCUCCGUUGGUGAACCAGCGGAGGGAUCAUUACCG
This 58-nucleotide ribosomal RNA is filed under the name Calonectria sp. WH10A. RNAcentral's name for it is "partial 18S ribosomal RNA". It matches the Rfam family "Eukaryotic small subunit ribosomal RNA", at positions 1777 to 1831 of the family's 1831-position model. Lineage: Eukaryota; Fungi; Ascomycota; Sordariomycetes; Hypocreales; Nectriaceae. The record is from RNAcentral.